RNAcentral lists this ribosomal RNA (313 nucleotides) under Weissella cibaria. RNAcentral's name for it is "bacterial SSU rRNA". The stretch from base 66 to 313 matches the Rfam family "Bacterial small subunit ribosomal RNA", at positions 100 to 342 of the family's 1533-position model. The record is from RNAcentral. Lineage: Bacteria; Bacillati; Bacillota; Bacilli; Lactobacillales; Lactobacillaceae.
GCUUUGUGGUUCAACUGAUUUGAAGAGCUUGCUCAGAUAUGACGAUGAACAUUGCAAAGAGUGGCGAACGGGUGAGUAACACGUGGGAAACCUACCUCUUAGCAGGGGAUAACAUUUGGAAACAGAUGCUAAUACCGUAUAACAAUAGCAACCGCAUGGUUGCUACUUAAAAGAUGGUUCUGCUAUCACUAAGAGAUGGUCCCGCGGUGCAUUAGUUAGUUGGUGAGGUAAUGGCUCACCAAGACGAUGAUGCAUAGCCGAGUUGAGAGACUGAUCGGCCACAAUGGGACUGAGACACGGCCCAUACUCCUAC